AUAUCAACGCAGGGGUGCUGGAACUAACGGCCGGCUGAGAGUGUAUCCCGUAAGAUACUGACCCUUUAACCUGAUCCGGAUAAUGCCGGCGUAGGGACGCCUACCUUUUCGCUUG
Molecule: non-coding RNA, 115 nt
Filed under: Paenibacillus sp.
Lineage: Bacteria; Bacillati; Bacillota; Bacilli; Caryophanales; Paenibacillaceae
Description: TPP sequence
Rfam family: TPP riboswitch aptamer (THI element)
About the family: Vitamin B(1) in its active form thiamin pyrophosphate (TPP) is an essential coenzyme that is synthesised by coupling of pyrimidine and thiazole moieties in bacteria. The previously detected thiamin-regulatory element, thi box was extended, resulting in a new, highly conserved RNA secondary structure, the THI element, which is widely distributed in eubacteria and also occurs in some archaea.
Source: RNAcentral